Molecule: unclassified non-coding RNA, 581 nt
Filed under: Hevea brasiliensis (rubber tree)
Lineage: Eukaryota; Viridiplantae; Streptophyta; Magnoliopsida; Malpighiales; Euphorbiaceae
Source: RNAcentral
ACUGUCGUAGUGGUUUCCUUUUGUUGUACAGAUCAUCACACUGCACAUGAAUAGAACAAUUCAUAUGUAAAAAUUUGGGGGAGAAAAAAAAAAGAAUAAUCAUGAUGGUAAACAAUGAAUAUGUAUUUCUAGAUGAUAUUUUAGAUUUUAUACUCUCUCUAUAUCUAUUUCUCGGCCAGUUAGUUCUUUUGCAAAUUCUACCCAAAGCAGUCGCUAACAUAGAAUCACUAUUGUUAGAAUCUUUCAAUUCUUUAUUCAAUUCAUACGAUUCAAUUCGAUUCCCCAAUCCAACGAUUCAAAUCUAUGGAGUUAAUUGCAAAUGUACCUAAAUUGUGACUGAAUCCUACCAUUCGAUAAUGAAUCGGGUGAAUAGAUAUGAAUCAACACAUUGGGUUGAUUUUUUUUUUUCUAAAUGGCUGUUAGACCCUAUACCAUCAACAUUUAAGAUUUCACUUUAUUUUUAUAAUGAAAAGUGCACAUAAACCGUCCCCUAGCUAUUUUGCUUCCACCAGCCAUUCCUUUCUCUCUCUCUUUUCUUUCUUUUUCUUUUUAUUUUUUUAAUUUACUUCUCUAAUUAUAGU